GUUAAAGCCUCUGGGAAAGGGCUCUUGUGACAAAAGGAGUCUGUUGGAAAAGCGCAUUUUUCAGGUGUCUGAGGGAAGGAUGACCUCGAAAAUAAAUGGUGCUGGAGAAAAGCUCCAGGGAAUGGAGGAGCUUUCAGAGAGACAGGAUGCCAUCCUGAGAAACCCAAGGAGGGCACUGCUCAGAGACCGCAGUUGCCUCCCGCAGGUCAGACCCUGCUGAGGACCGGUUGGUUGUGAAGUUAGACAGACGUGCUGGAUUUUUAGCCUUUGUGAAUAUGUAGAUUUCAAAGGGUGUCAGAAAUACCGUUGAAAGUGGUAAUUCCUCAUUUUUCCUCCUUGGCAGCUCGGAUUCUGAAGGUAAUUUUGAGACCCCUGAAGCUGAAACCCCGAUCCGAUCACCUUUCAAGGAGUCCUGUGAUCCAUCACUCGGAUUGGCAGGACCUGGGGCCAAAAGCCAAGAAUCACAAGAAGCUGAUGAACAGCUUGUAGCAGAAGUGGUUGAAAAAUGUUCAUCUAAGACUUGUUCUAAACCUUCAGAAAAUGAAGUGCCACAGCAGGCC
RNAcentral lists this small RNA (560 nucleotides) under Pongo abelii (Sumatran orangutan). Its description in RNAcentral is "retained intron". The record is from RNAcentral. Lineage: Eukaryota; Metazoa; Chordata; Mammalia; Primates; Hominidae.